AUGACCCGGUGAAUUUAAGCAUAUCACUAAGCGGAGGAAAAGAAACUAACCAGGAUUCCCCUAGUAACGGCGAGUGAAGAGGGAAUAGCCCAGCACCGAAGCCUGCGGCAGUUUUGCUGUUAGGCAAUGUGGUGUUUGGACCGGCUCGUGGGAUUGCCACUCCACUCGAAGUCCAGCAUUGAGUAUGGUUCCCUGGAUUUGGCCCAGAGAGGGUGAAAGGCCCGUGCGAGUGGAUGUUUCAGACAUGUAAGGCAAUUCACCAGGACGGUCUUAGAGUCGGGUUGUUUGAGAAUGCAGCCCUAAGUGGGUGGUAAACUCCAUCCAAGGCUAAAUACUAGCACGAGUCCGAUAGCGAACAAGUACCGUGAGGGAAAGUUGAAAAGUACUUUGAAGAGAGAGUAAACAGUACGUGAAACCGCAUAGAGGUAAACGGGUGGCGUCAAGCUGCAAGCCCAGAGGAUUCAGUCGGUCAGGAUGUUGUAUGUGCCUGGCGCAUCUAUCAGUCGGUAUUAGAUCGGGUAGUCCACCGGGAAACGGUGGGCCCAGCCGCAAGGUUGGGAUUUGCGUACCGGGAGACUGCCGGAGCAUGCUGCCUAUCUGUUGGACUGUCUGGCCGAUGCACUUCCUCUGUUCAGGUGAACACCACGACCGGUGGUACUGCCAGUCUGUUGUGGCCAAGUUGUGUCUAGUCGGCAUUUAUGUCACCUGGAUGCAAUCACAGGCAAUGUCAUUGUCCGGCGUUCAGACGUUCGCGUUCGUUCGUGUUAUCGGGCAGUGCUUGUCAACGGGUCUGUUCAUUGAUGCUGUAGUCGUCAGUGGAUGACUUGGUGGGCCAUGAUGGUAAGAAUAACUGUGCAGGGCACCGGAGUUCGCGGUCUCUAAUCCGGCUCGCAUACACACUACAGUGGUGCGGAGCGUUAUUGCGGCCUGCCUGUGGUUGGGUCCGAUUGCCGUGUCGCCUGCGCAAAGUAGGCCCGGCUUUGGCCUAGCUCUGGUUGGAGUCGUGGAUAGCGUUUCCUGUGUGAGUCGGUGUGGACCAAACAGUCAGUGGUGUAGUGGUAGACCAGCCACCCGACCCGUCUUGAAACACGGACCAAGGAGUUUAACAUGCGCGCAAGUCAUGGGGUCUUACGAAACCCAAAGGCGCAGUGAAAGUGAAGCCUCGACUUGUUCUCGGGGUGUGGUGAGAUCCUGCUGUUACUCGCAUCUGUACUUGUGCACUGUGUCAGCACUAGGCAAAGAGCAGCAGGCGCAUCACCGGCCCGUCCCAUGAUGUGGUCAUUGGUCGGUUGUAGUUGUGGGCUUCGGCUUGUGGCUGCAGCUCCAGUGCGUCAUCGGGGCGGAGCAUGAGCGCGCAUGUUGAGACCCGAAAGAUGGUGAACUAUGCUUGCGUAGGUUGAAGCCAGAGGAAACUCUGGUGGAGGACCGCAGCGAUUCUGACGUGCAAAUCGAUCGUCAAACGUGAGUAUAGGGGCGAAAGACUAAUCGAACCAUCUAGUAGCUGGUUCCCUCCGAAGUUUCCCUCAGGAUAGCUGGCGCUCAUUCGCAAGAUCAGUUUUAUCCGGUAAAGCGAAUGAUUAGAGGUACUGGGUUCGAAACGAGCUCAACCUAUUCUCAAACUUUAAAUGGGUGAGAUGCCCGGCUCGCCUAAUAGGAGUCGGGCGUUGAAUGUGCGAGUGCCAAGUGGGCCAUUUUUGGUAAGCAGAACUGGCGCUGUGGGAUGAACCAAACGCUCGGUUAAGGUGCCUAACGCUGACGCUCAUGAGAUACCACAAAAGGUGUUGGUCAAUACAGACAGCAGGACGGUGGCCAUGGAAGUCGGCAUCCGCUAAGGAGUGUGUAACAACUC
RNAcentral lists this ribosomal RNA (1849 nucleotides) under Grillotia sp. 2 HR-2018. RNAcentral describes it as "LSU rRNA". It matches the Rfam family "Eukaryotic large subunit ribosomal RNA", at positions 20 to 1291 of the family's 3401-position model. The record is from RNAcentral. Lineage: Eukaryota; Metazoa; Platyhelminthes; Cestoda; Trypanorhyncha; Lacistorhynchidae.